UACGGAGGGGGCGAGCGUUAUUCGGAAUUAUUGGGCGUAAAGGGCGCGUAGGCGGCUAGGUAAGUCAAAGGUGAAAUCCCUCGGCUCAACUGAGGAACUGCCUUUUAAACUGUCUAGCUCGAGGCCGGGAGGGGGUGGCGGAAUUCCCAGUGUAGCGGUGAAAUGCGUAGAUAUUGGGAGGAACACCAGUGGCGAAGGCGGCCACCUGGACCGGUUCUGACGCUGAUGCGCGAAAGCGUGGGUAGCAAACAGG
RNAcentral lists this ribosomal RNA (253 nucleotides) under uncultured bacterium. Its description in RNAcentral is "partial 16S ribosomal RNA". It matches the Rfam family "Bacterial small subunit ribosomal RNA", at positions 524 to 776 of the family's 1533-position model. The record is from RNAcentral.